GCGGAAGUGGCGGAACUGGCAGACGCGCUAGCUUCAGGAGCUAGUGGGGUCACACCCGUGGAGGUUCAACUCCUCUCUUCCGCA
RNAcentral lists this transfer RNA (84 nucleotides) under Pseudomonadota bacterium. RNAcentral describes it as "tRNA-Leu". It matches the Rfam family "tRNA". Rfam says of the family: Transfer RNA (tRNA) molecules are approximately 80 nucleotides in length. Their secondary structure includes four short double-helical elements and three loops (D, anti-codon, and T loops). Further hydrogen bonds mediate the characteristic L-shaped molecular structure. tRNAs have two regions of fundamental functional importance: the anti-codon, which is responsible for specific mRNA codon recognition, and the 3' end, to which the tRNAs corresponding amino acid is attached (by aminoacyl-tRNA synthetases). tRNAs cope with the degeneracy of the genetic code in two manners: having more than one tRNA (with a specific anti-codon) for a particular amino acid; and 'wobble' base-pairing, i.e. permitting non-standard base-pairing at the 3rd anti-codon position. Lineage: Bacteria; Pseudomonadati; Pseudomonadota. The record is from RNAcentral. RNAcentral also lists the same sequence under 1 other name.